UACGAAGGGUGCAAGCGUUAAUCGGAAUUACUGGGCGUAAAGCGUGCGUAGGUGGUCUUUUAAGUCCGUUGUGAAAGCCCUGGGCUCAACCUGGGAAUGGCAGUGGAUACUGGAAGGCUGGAGUACGGUAGAGGAGGGUGGAAUUCCCGGUGUAGCAGUGAAAUGCGUAGAGAUCGGGAGGAACAUCAGUUGCGAAGGCGGCUCUCUGGACCAGUACUGACGCUGAGGCACGAAAGCGUGGGGAGCAAACAGG
Molecule: ribosomal RNA, 253 nt
Filed under: uncultured bacterium
Lineage: Bacteria
Description: partial 16S ribosomal RNA
Rfam family: Bacterial small subunit ribosomal RNA
Source: RNAcentral